Molecule: ribosomal RNA, 253 nt
Filed under: uncultured bacterium
Lineage: Bacteria
Description: partial 16S ribosomal RNA
Rfam family: Bacterial small subunit ribosomal RNA
Source: RNAcentral
UACGAAGGGGGCUAGCGUUGUUCGGAAUUACUGGGCGUAAAGCGCGCGUAGGCGGCUUUGUAAGUUAGAGGUGAAAGCCCGGAGCUCAACUCCGGAACUGCCUUUAAAACUGCAUCGCUUGAAUCCAGGAGAGGUGAGUGGAAUUCCGAGUGUAGAGGUGAAAUUCGUAGAUAUUCGGAAGAACACCAGUGGCGAAGGCGGCUCACUGGACUGGUAUUGACGCUGAGGUGCGAAAGCGUGGGGAGCAAACAGG